GGGCCGGUGGUGGAAUUGGUAGACACGCUAGAUUUAGGUUCUAGUGCCGAAAGGUGUGAAGGUUCAAGUCCUUUCCGGCCUACCA
RNAcentral lists this transfer RNA (85 nucleotides) under Candidatus Pelagibacteraceae bacterium. RNAcentral describes it as "tRNA-Leu". It matches the Rfam family "tRNA". Rfam says of the family: Transfer RNA (tRNA) molecules are approximately 80 nucleotides in length. Their secondary structure includes four short double-helical elements and three loops (D, anti-codon, and T loops). The record is from RNAcentral. Lineage: Bacteria; Pseudomonadati; Pseudomonadota; Alphaproteobacteria; Candidatus Pelagibacterales; Candidatus Pelagibacteraceae.